CCCACUGCUGGCCUAGCCCCACCCGCUCUGGGGUCUGUGAAGCCCACCAUGAGGGUCGGGGUGGUCAGAGCAUCUGACAAGCUGGAGCCAGCUUGUGGUGGGUGUCGCUGGCGUGGACGACACGAAGACCCUGAAUGGGGAGCCGUUUCCCCGAAGGCUCUCUGCUGGGCCAGGGGCGGGGGCCCUCGUGCUGGCAUCUGGUGGGUAGCGGGUUCUGACCUAUGAGAUCAGUCUAGAGAAAGCCCCAGGCCCACUGGGGUUCCCAGGCCAGAGUGAGGGCAGGGGUGGGGCCUGGGUCAAGGACUAGCAAGCCAUGGUGCACCAGGUUCCCUGGUGCCAGCCUGUGCCAGGCCUGCUGCCCUCCCAGAACCUUGGGGUAGGGAGUUGCCCCCAUUUACCGAGGAGGCCUGGGCUUGGAGAGGCUGAGCCGAUCUUCAGGCCCACACAGCUGGUGGGCAUGGAGGGCCCAUCCUUGCCCUUUCCCUGCCUGGAAGCUGAGGCACAGAGAGCAGGGGUCCCCCAGGUGGUCAGGCCCCAGAGGCUACACUCAGGUUGGCGUACCAUGCAGCCUCUUCCUGCUAUCAGUGGGGGCAGCAGGACGGUUCAGGCAGAGUGGUAGCCGCAAGGUGGGGGCAAGGGACUGCUUGGGAGCCGCUGUGAGGCCAGGGAGGUGGUGGGGCUGCAGGGCUGGGAGAGGAGGCCCCAUGGGUCCCUCAGGGCCGUAUGUGGCCUCCAGAGCCGAGGCGGCUGCUGUGGGCUGCCCUACCCUGGUGAGUUUCGGGGAUCCUGGCCCCAUAAGAGAGUAGAGAGCGCUGGAGAGGAGGCGGCCUACCUGCCUUCCAGGCCCUUCCUGCUCUGGCUGGCUCAGUGGGUGGAGCACAGGCAGUGGCUGUGGCCCUGCCAUUGGCGCAGUGACCUUCCCUUCAGGCGUGUGAGGGUGGCAUGGCUGUGGAGGCUCCUGGCAGUGCGGGCACGUGUGGGUGCCGGGGAUUGUUGGGUAAUCCUUUGAUUAGAGGCCAGGAAACCCAAUCCUGCGGCCCAGGCGGUGUGUUGGGGGGGCCACUUUUUCUAGAGAGGCCCCUGCAGAUUAUGGGAUUUCCACCUGCCCCGCCCUGGGAGGCGUCUUGGGCGGAGAGCAUUUGGCCUUGGGAGGUGGGGAGGGCGUUCCUGCCCCGGAGCCUGGGAAGCUGUCUGCCAACCUCCGUUCAGGUACCCACGCGGCCCUCACCUGCUGUGUGACCCAGGCAGCGCGUCUCCCUCUCUGUCUUGACUUUGUCAUCUGUGAAGUGGGGUGAGGGCGCUUGCUUUGGGGGUGGUUGUGAGGGCAACUGACGUCAGGCCCCCUCCUUCAAUUCUUGCCUGGGAGCAGGGAAGCCACUGGCCGGGGUCCUCUCUGGACCUCAGUGUCUUUGUCUGAGGGCUGGGAAGAAGAGUUUCUUAUGGGUUCUGGGGCUCACGCAGGACUGCCCGCAGCACCCUGCAACUCCUGGAAUAGGGCGCUCAGUGUGGGGCUGAGGAACGUCAGGAGGGCACGAGUGUUCUGCCUCACAGGAAGAAGCAUUUUCUUGGGAGGAGUGGUUUCAGAGGCAGCUAGUUCUGGAACCAUCCUAGGACCUAGAGAUUGCUUAGGGCCAGGAAGCAAGGCCAGUCAGCGGGUGUAGCCUUGACCUGGACUUGAGGGGUCAAGACCCUGUCCUAUCCCCAUCUUGCUCAGCGGCCAGAGGAGAGAUGUGUGCACUUGGUGGGCUGUCACAGCCUGCGGGCCUUGGGACCAGCGCUCCAUCUGCCCAUCCCCAGCCGGGUGCAGUGCUGAGCUGAGGGAAGUGUGCAUUCUUCUUUAAGCAAAGAGGAUCUUCCUGAACUGUGGGAAGGAGUGUUUCCUCCUGGAAGGCGGGGCGGGCUGGCUGGGUCAGCAGAUGGGCCCCUCUGGCGCCUUCUCACCCUCUGGCCAGUCGUUGGCCCUCGUGGCCCUGCCACGAUGGGGUGGAUGUGUCCCCCUCGGCCCUCUGCACAGGACACAGCCCUUCCUCAUGGGGCCUGGUCCUGCUAAGGUCCCUGGAGGCUGUGUCCCAUGUGGCCCGACCUCCGUGCCAUCUGUCAUGCUGUUCCCUCUGCCUGGUGUGCCCGCCUGUUCUGUCCUUCUCCUUCCAUCCUUGUCCUGAGGCCAGCGUCCCCUGCUCUUAAAGCUGGCCCCAGGGACCUGGGAGGCCGGGGCCCAUGCAGCACAAAUGUGGAGAGGUCUUCCCCCACCGCCCCGGGCCUCCCUUUCCCAGGGCCUCCCUUUCUCAGGGCCUCCCUUUCCCAGCCCCCUCGGGCACCGACUUGUGCGGAUGCUGUGGUGUAGCCCCUCCCUGGGUAGAGGAGUGGGUAGGGGGCUGGCUCUGCAGCUUGGGGUCUGGCCUGGCAUCUGGAGAGACUUGUGGGGCGCAGCUUCCUGCCCUCACCACUGGAAUGGGCUGAGAUUGGGGUCCCACCCCUUUGCUCGUGACUCAGCAGCUGCAGGGUGGGGGAACCGGAGGCUUCUUGACAAAAACCCCAACCCUGGGCACCCGCCCAAGGCUUAGAUUCCCCUUACGAAGGUGGCAGCGGAGCCCUUGGUUCCUUCCUCUGGGGGCUCCCAACGGGAGGGUGGGGACGGGGCCCUCUCCUCCCCACCUCCCGGGCCUCCGAGGUCUCUGCUUCUCUGCUGCUUGGCACCCGUUGUGGCGCCCCAGGGUGAAGCUCUCAUUGCGCCCUGGCCACGGAGGCCCCUCCAUCCUCAGGAGACAGCUUAUUCUGCCUCUAGUCCCACCACCAUACCCCUUAGCAGCUGCUUCCCGCUCCUCCUGCAGGAGGCUCUCUGGGCCCUGGUCCUCUUGACGUUCUGUGGGCACUUGGCUUCCUGUCUCACCCAGCACGUGGGUGGUAGUGAUGGACACAGGCUCUGUGUGGGCCUCAUGCCUAGUGUGGAGCCAGCAGAGUUGUGCAGCGGAUGUGGAGUUGGGGAGGAGGGGAGCAGUGACAGCCACUCAGAGUGGGCUCUGCCUCUUGUGCCCCUCGGGCCGUGUGCCUGGGGACAGCUGGCUGGAGUCACGAGGCCCGGCGCUUGAGCUGCAGUGUGGAGGGUGGGCCCUAGCCUGCUCCAGCUCAGUGAGCAUGGCAGCCCCCGUUCUGCUGGGACCACUGCCAGUGGCCGAGACAAUGGAAGUGGACGUGCCCUGGAGGGUGUCACCGGUUGCCCUGACAAUGUUUGGGUUUCAGUGUCCCCAGCGGGUGAGUGGGGUAACGUAGCCCCGUCUAGCUGUAUUUGCCCGGCCGAGGGUGUGCCGGCUCUGUGGAGUGCCAGGUGCCGGGUGUUCGUUAAGUGUAGCUGCCGGGAAGGAGCUUUAGUUUGGGCCAAAGCCCUGCUGGGUUUUCGAGGGCCCCUGGGUGGUCAGCAGUGGGGGUACCUGGUUGGUUCACGGCGCUUUGGGCCCCACCCUGGGACUGGCAUGGAUCCUUUUGGAGGGAUCUGGAGUUUGGGGUGGGAGAAGCCUCAGCCUUGGCCUUGGUGGUCUCCAUCAAGCAGAGACCAAGGCCACGGGCAGGACGGGGGCUCUGAUGGGGGCUCUGUCACCCUGACAUCGCGUAUCUGGCCUGGCUGCGCCGGGCAGGUCUUCCCACGAGCUGAUGGCAGCCCCAGUAGCCUGUCCCACCGACUGCCUGCCUUGGUCCUCCUAAGGGACUUGUGAAACCCGGAACCGAGAAGGAGCCAAGGCAGGAGACAGCAAUUGAAGUUGAAAUUAACUUACAUCUCCCCAGCCCCAGGCCUGACACUGUCAGUGCAAAAUGCGUGACAAGGAAACUGAAAAUAAUCAGUCUUGACUCUCUGGCCUGGUUCAUUCACGACUAAAUACAUGUCAGUUCCCGGCACAGAUGAACGUGGAACGGGUGCCCCCAGGUGGGACUGUGGCUGCUGUUGUGUCCAGAUGGCCCCUCCUCCAGGAAGCCCUCCGUGAUUUCCCAUUCAGGAGGUCCUCUUCUGUGCCCAUGUUUCCUGAUACAUGUGUGUCUUGCAGUGUCCAUGUAGGGACAGUUGAGAGUCGGGGCAGCAGCCUGGGCCACUUCUGGGGGUGGGGUUCAGGCAGGGUGUGGUCGGCAGUCCAGAGGGAUGUGGUGGUGGAGACCAUGCAGGGGCCCUCGGCUCUGCCAGUGCUGGCCCAUUCUAAGCGCUGGAUCGGGGUCAUGCCACCCUCUUUAGUUCCUGUCAUUCUGCCGUGGUCCUAGGGGUAGAGCCCUGGCCCGGGACCUGGCGUUCAUCCUUGGCGCGGCCCUCCAUGCCCUCCUGUGGCUUGCUGGGGACCAGCUGUGCUGACUGAUGUGAGGUCUUCAACCGUCAGUUUCGUAUGUGCCGUCCUGUCACCCAAAUGCACUUCUGCUGUUGCCCCUUCAGGUCUCCCUCAGCUGUCAGCUCAUUGAGAGGCCUCCCUGAACCCCAGGCUGCCGUGGCCUUACCCCCACGGUCCCCGUGGCAGGCUCUGCUCGUCCCUCCCGGGUCCCCGUGGCCGGCUCCGCUCGUCCCUCCCGGGUCCCCGUGGCCGGCUCCGCUCGUCCCUCCCGGGUCCCCGUGGCCGGCUCCGCUUGUUCCUCCUGAGUGCUCUGCAGGUCCUGCCAGUGACCACCGUUCCCGGGUGUGCUUGGGGCUCUUGUUCGUCCUCCUGACCAGGACCUGGGCUCUGGGGACUCGGUGUGCCUAGGCACUGCAGGACCUGCCCUGUGUCCUGGCACUGCCCAGCUUCACAUUAUUGGCUGAAAGACACAUGUGUCUGGGUGCUGUGGGUGGACACCCCCAGGGAGGAGCCCCCGUUUUUGGGGUGUGCUGUGCCUUCACCCCACUGCUCAUACUCCUGAGCUGCUGGCGUCUGAAGCCCAGGGUGGGAAAGGAGCUGCCUUUGAGGGAGGGUCCUUCUGGAGGCCCCAGGGGCUUGGGGAGCCCGAGUUGGGACAGUGUGGGUUGGAGGAGGUGACAGGUGGACUGGCUGGGGUCCCACCAGCGCCUCACUGCUUCCGUCUUACGGAGGGGAAAGGCCAGGCUGGCGGGGGUAGCUUGGGAGGGACUGUCUCCAGGCACCACAUCCUGGGCCUAACCCUUGGGGAGAAGGCCCAGCUGUCACUGUGGAGGUUGCAGGCAGGUGGGAGUAGGGUGGUGACCUCUCUGUCACUGUGGAGGUGACACAUGGGUGGGAGUGGGAUGUGGCCUCUGUGUCACUAUGGAGGUGGCAGGCAGGUGGGAGUUGGGUGGUGGCCUCUCCGUCACUGUGGAGGUGGCAGGCAGGUGGGAGUUGGGUGGUGGCCUCUCCGUCACUGUGGAGGUGGCAGGCAGGCAGGAGUGGGUGGCCUCUCUGUCACCAUGGAGGUGGUGGGCGGGCAGGAGUGGGUUGUAGGUGGGGGUGGGUGGUGGCCUCUCUGUCACUGUGGAGGUGAAGGGCGGGGGUAGUGGAUGGUGGCCUCUUGAUGACUGUGGAGGUGAUGUGCAGGGGUGGGAUGGAGGCCUUGCCAUCACUGUGGGGGUGGCAGGCAGGUGGGGGUGGGGUGGGGACCUCGUGGUCAUCUGUGGGCCGGAUGGGGCGGCUGCAAGGAGAGCAGGUAGAGAAAGGGUUAAAGGGCCGAGGGAAGUAAUAAUGUUUCUAAUUUUCGUAUGUAAUUUCAUAAAAAUGUAAAUUGCUGGGCGGCCGACGCGCCCUGCCGCAGUGUUGACCGAGAUUAAUUGCGGGCACUCGUGGUCAGCCUGCCUUUGUCUCUGCGCCCCGAGCACAGCCCGGCCCCUCCGCCUGCCCGGGAGGCAGACACCGUGCUGUCUGCCCUGAUGGGGGCCGCAGCGCCUGGGCUUCUGCUGAGCAGGAGGGGGGCCUGGUCGGUCAGAGCCAGCCCCUGCCGUGACCCCAUACCCCUCUCCUCUGGAGGAGCACGGGGCUGGGCGAGGAUGGCCAGGGGCCUGCGCUGACAGGCAGUUUCCAGGUAUGCGGAGGAUCACUGGCCGGCGUGGCUGGGGAAGGCCCUCUGCGGGGAUGCUGCAGCUGGGCUUGUGGAUGGGAAUGAGCAGCCGGCGGGGAGGUGGAGGAGGACCUCAGGCCAGGGGAACAGCGUGUGCAAAGGCCCGGGCAUGGGGCGGUCAGUUCAGAGCUGGGCAGCCAGGAGGGGGCUGGUGGGUGACAGAGCCAGGGGGGUAUGGCCAGAGGUACUGGGCCUGUCCUGACAGUGGGGAGCCCCCUUCAGCUGUCGUGAGUGCUGAGCGACGGUCCUGGCGGCUAUUGAGGUUGGAUCCUAGGGGCAGGAGGGGAGUCCUGAGGCCACGAAGAGGUGGUGGCGCUGUGGCCAUGGGGACGGAGGAGCUCGGGGUAACCAGGGCCUGCACAGUGGUGCCGUUUCUGGGGACACGAGGCACCGAGGGGCGUUGAGGGUGCCAGGUGCACCGGUUGUGAUUGAGGCCACACAGGGCCACGUGCAGAUGAGAAGGGCAGUGUGCACUGAUGCCAGAGCUCUGGGGGAGACCUGGCAGCCUCCCAGGAGGCGGAACCUCCAGGUCUGUGGUUGGAGCUUGGAACAUUUUGGCGGCAGAGCCAGGGGUUGGAGAGGGAGGAUGGAGCAGCGUUUGCUGGUGCAGCAGGCAUUGUGGCGCAGUGGUCUUCAGGGCAGCGAGGGUCAGGUGCAGCGUCCGUGAGCUCGGGCUGGCUGGGAGGGUCCCUGCAGCCCCGUUCUGUCCCAGGGUCCCCCAGGGCCCAUGCUGGCUGCUUGUCCCCUGCUGCAGAUGGAGGACAGUCACGGGCAGAAUGUUGAUCUGGUCCCCGGGGACGCAGGUGGCUGACACGUGGACUGAGUCUUGGCUGAGUUCAGCCUGGCUCAUACGGCCACCUUGCUGUGGGAUUGCCACGGAGGGCUGGCCCCUGCCCACUGCUGCCUGCCCUGGGCAUGCCCUGUCCUCGGGGUCCCAGGCCGCAUGGUGCCUGUGCAUUAUCCACUGUCAGAGGCAUCACACGUCUGCUGGGUGCUGCCUCGGGCCGGGUGCAGGGUUUGGUGGUGAGGAGCCUCCACGUGCCUCCUCAGGUUGCUGGAUGCCGAGGUCGGGGAAACCGGACCUGGGGUGCGGUCUUGAGGGAGAGCUGAAUUUGUGUGUGUGGCUUUGAAACACCCAGCCCCCCCAGACCUUGGUGGGGCCUCCCUUCAGACACCAGCUCUGCGCCAUGUGUGUGCCAACCAUGACCUUGUGCCAGUUGGGCCUCAAAGCUCGGAAGGGGCUGGCGUAUCUGAGACCCAGUUCCGUCACUCGCAGUGAAGGGCUGGUUCCUGCUGAGAAGGCUGGUGAUGUGUGGUGGGUACGCUGCUUCCCAGGAGGGACCUGUGCUGCCCCUGAACUCACCGAGGGCGGGGAGGGGUCCCGAGCACCGCCCACCUCAUGGGAGGCUCUUACAAGAGAGGGGUGUGGCUGGGCUGCAGACCCCAAUCCCUGCCCCAGUCUGGCCCCAAGUUGCCGCCACCUCAUGCUGGGCACGUGGCAGCCCUGCCGACCCCUGCUCUGCACCUGGAUGGCUGGGCGUUGUUCGCUGGCCUGCUGAGGGUAGCUCUGGGCACGGGCACCUCGGGCUGGGGGAGGGCGUGGCUGAGCUUGGUGGCAGGGAGGAAGGCCUCUCCUCGGGGAGCAGGAAGGAGGACAGGGACGGGCUGGUGGGUGGGGGAAGAGGAGAGGCUGACUCAGGUGGACUGAGUCCUUGGCUGCCACAGCUGGCAGUGGUGAGGGGCAGCUCAGCCCUGAAGCUCGUGGUGGGCAGGAGUGUGCCUGGACGGGCCCAGCAACUUGAUGAGCAUGGGCCAGACAGGCAGGGUUCCCAGGUGGUCCCACGCACGGGUGACGUCGGGAGACCCUGCAUUGGGCUAGGAUACCUGUGUACCUGCUGACUUGUCUCAUGAAGUUUGGGGGCUUUUCCUCCACCCAAAUGCCUGUGUGUCUGGAAGUGCAGGCCGGUGCACAGGAUUCUGCAGGGCUGGGCCCGCCGGGCGGUGUCCGCCCGGGAAGGCUGCUUGGAGGAGGGGCAGAGCUGGGCUCUCCGUGGUGACAGUGUGCAUGAUCUCGUCCUGCCUGUGACACCUUCCUCUCCUGGUUGGGUCAGCUCCUGGCUGCAGCUGGUGUCUGGAGGUCCCCAGGCACUUCUGGGACCCCGUCCCCAAGCCCAGGACUGCUGAUUCAUGCCACUUUCCAGAGCACUUGCCGGCCUGUGGGCAGGAAGAGCGGACCCACCAGAUGGCUGUGUGUCGGGGGCGGGGGGGCGCAGCUGCCCAGAGAUAUCAGGAGAUGUCGUGCCGAUCACAUGCUUUGAUUAAACGGCCUGUCUGGGGCCGAGUGGGCAGCUGGUCAGUGUCAGGCUCCCAGGGCAGGAUGCCUGGAGACCACCAGGGGAGGGAGGAACUGGCCCCAGAGAGCCCGUGGGGCUGGAGCCGAAGAGUGGCCUGAACACAGCACUUGGUAUCACCCCCUGGCCCCCCCUUCACCAGCUGCAGUCUUGGAAGGCCCUUUGCCCCUUCGUGCCUCAGUUUCCUUUUCUGUGAGGGGGUGGUGGCCCAGAGCUGGACACACUGUGUAGCAGCCACAUGGGUGGUGUGCUGGUGGCUGGGGUCCCCAGGGGCUUCCCGUGGGCGGUCACCUCCACUCGGAGGCCUGUGGUUUCUGGCUAGUGUCUGUCUUUCUCCGCGCACAGCAGGCCCCAGCCAAUGCCACGUGAGGACUGUGCAGGCCCCUGUACUGUGCCCUGGCUGUGCCCACCCACGUGGGGAGCCCGAGGCAAUGCCUGGUGGGGUCUCCCUGGCCCAGCUCUGCACACACCCUUCCCUGUGGAGAAGCCAGCCUGCUCCUGAGAGCAGCCCCAGCAGGGGUAUUUUCAUGCCUUCUUCUGAGGCGGGUGGGGGUGGGGGGGAACCAGUGGCACCGCUUUCCUGGCUGCCUGUCCCCGCCGCAUGAGGUGACGUAUUUGAGGGGCUGAGUGGCUGAGCCUGGGCCCGGCCUGGCCUGGGUGGUGCCUCCCCUGCUGCUGUGUCCUCAUCUGUCCCCAGGGCCGACGUCAGCCCCUCUUCUGUGUGACGGCGUGGAGGCCGCCUGUUUUGCACCCGCAAGAAGCCCUGCGCCUCAGCAAGCGGGUGUGCGUCCCUCCCCUGCCUCGGCGUCCCUUGCUGUAACAUGGGGCACCAGCCUCAGACUUCACGGGAGGCACAUGGCCUCGAGGUGCAGACACCCCACUGUAGUGGAAUGCUGGCCGCAGGGGCUGAGCCCUCUGAGUCUUUGCUUAGGAAAUCGGAACGCUGGGCCCCCUUCUCCUGCACGGCCAGGCUUGGGGCUGCCAGAGUCUGAAGAGGUGGCAGGACUGGGUUAGGAUGCCCGGUGGGAUGUAAUGGGAGGCCUUGGCCAGUGCCUGGCCCUCUGGGCCCCAGCAUCCCCCUCAGAGAAGGGGCAGUUGGGGGGCACUCUCGAGGGGCCCUGUGCCAUCAGCGGGCUGAGAGGAGGGCAAAGCGGUGGCCCCGGGCCCGGCAGGCUGGUCUCCAGCAUGGCUCUGUUCCUUCCGAUGGCCCUGACCCCAGCACCCCAAACUCUGUUGUCUUCCCGGGUGGGGAGCCCCAACAGGGCAGGGAUCCUUCACCUCAGGAAACGUAAUCCCUUCCCCGGUCUGUGAAUAUUUCAUCAGCAGAUUAAAAAUUGAAGCUGAACCGUCCUUGCUCCUCCAGGAGGGUGGAGGAGGGGUGCCAGCUCCGUUUCAGGCCGGUUUGAGUGUUUUUCUUGAUAAUGGAGCUGCGUCAAUGAGAAAAUGACAUUGUUGGUUAAAAUGCCGUUCUGCCGCCCUCUUUAAUUAAGGCCCGAGAUGUAAUAGCCAAUCCGCUGCUGUGAACGCAUUUUUAACUAUCAGAACUCCAGGUGAAUGACAGCUGGGUUGGUCAGAGGGGGCGUGCGGGCCUCGGAGAGGUUGAUGGAGGCCGUGCAGCUGGGGGUGCCAGUGGCCAGUGUGUAUUGGGUCGGGUGGGCACUCUCUUCUGUGUGCACGUGUGCCUGGGGACCAGGAGGGCCUGGGGGCUGAGGUUGAGAGUCCCACCGAGUUUGCCCACGUGGGUCAUGGUGCUGGAGCCAGAGGGACCUCCGGGUAGCCUGGGAGCCAGCGAGGCUGCACAGGCCGUGGGAGUCGGGGCUGUCGAAGGCGGAGUUGGGCUGGGGUGCAG
This is a long non-coding RNA of Sapajus apella (tufted capuchin), 10212 nucleotides long. RefSeq lists it as uncharacterized. The transcript is spliced from 2 exons. Lineage: Eukaryota; Metazoa; Chordata; Mammalia; Primates; Cebidae. The record is from RefSeq and is a predicted model, not a curated record.